AUACGGAGGGUGCAAGCGUUAAUCGGAAUUACUGGGCGUAAAGCGCGCGUAGGCGGUAAGGUCAGUCGGAUGUGAAAGCCCCGGGCUCAACCUGGGAACUGCAUUCGAUACUGCCUGACUAGAGUAUGGUAGAGGGAAGUGGAAUUUCCGGUGUAGCGGUGAAAUGCGUAGAUAUCGGAAGGAACACCAGUGGCGAAGGCGGCUUCCUGGACCAAUACUGACGCUGAGGUGCGAAAGCGUGGGGAGCAAACAGGAUUAGAAACCCUAGUAGUCC
RNAcentral lists this ribosomal RNA (274 nucleotides) under uncultured bacterium. Its description in RNAcentral is "partial 16S ribosomal RNA". It matches the Rfam family "Bacterial small subunit ribosomal RNA", at positions 523 to 796 of the family's 1533-position model. The record is from RNAcentral.